Molecule: ribosomal RNA, 236 nt
Filed under: uncultured bacterium
Lineage: Bacteria
Description: partial 16S ribosomal RNA
Rfam family: Bacterial small subunit ribosomal RNA
Source: RNAcentral
UGAGGAACAUGACUUUCGGUGGGGGAUAGCCGGCCCAACGGCCGGGUAAUACCGCGUACGACCUUUUGGGGACAUCCCUGAUUGGUGAAAGCAGCAAUGCGCCGAAAGAGUGCCUCGCGGCCUAUCAGCUAGUUGGUGAGGUAACGCUCACCAAGGCGACGACGGGUAGCUGGUCUGAGAGGAUGGCCAGCCANAGUUGGGACUGAGACACCGGCCCAGACCUCCGUACGGGGAGG